CCCUUAGAUGUUCUGGGCCGCACGCGCGCUACACUGAUGCCUUCAACGAGUCUAAAACCUGGUCUGAUAGGGCUGGGUAAUCUUUUGAAAGUGCAUCGUGAUUGGGAUAGAUGAUUGCAAUUCUUCAUCUUCAACGAGGAAUGCCUAGUAAACGCAAGUCAUCAGCUUGCAUUGAUUACGUCCCUGCCCUUUGUACACACCGCCCGUCGCUCCUACCGAUUGAAUGAUCCGAUGAAUACCAUGGAUUGAGAGUACGAAUGGGUUCGCUCAUUUCUGCUGCUCGAGAAGUGGAGUAAAUCUUAUCAUUUAGAGGAAGGAGAAGUCGUAACA
RNAcentral lists this ribosomal RNA (330 nucleotides) under uncultured eukaryote. RNAcentral describes it as "partial 18S ribosomal RNA". It matches the Rfam family "Eukaryotic small subunit ribosomal RNA", at positions 1470 to 1796 of the family's 1831-position model. The record is from RNAcentral.